RNAcentral lists this ribosomal RNA (745 nucleotides) under uncultured bacterium. RNAcentral's name for it is "bacterial SSU rRNA". It matches the Rfam family "Bacterial small subunit ribosomal RNA", at positions 8 to 796 of the family's 1533-position model. The record is from RNAcentral.
AGAGUUUGAUCAUGGCUCAGAACGAACGCUGGCGGCAGGCUUAACACAUGCAAGUCGAGCGGGCGCUUUCGGGCGUCAGCGGCGGACGGGUUAGUAACGCGUGGGAACGUGCCCUUUGCUCUGGAAUAGCCCUGGGAAACCGGGGGUAAUACCGGAUGUGCCCUGAGGGGGAAAGGUUUACCGGCAAGGGAUCGGCCCGCGUCUGAUUAGGUAGUUGGUGGGGUAAAGGCCUACCAAGCCUACGAUCGGUAGCUGGUUUGAGAGGAUGAUCAGCAACACUGGGACUGAGACACGGCCCAGACUCCUACGGGAGGCAGCAGUGGGGAAUCUUAGACAAUGGGCGAAAGCCUGAUCUAGCCAUGCCGCGUGGGUGAUGAAGGCCUUAGGGUCGUAAAGCCCUUUCGCCGGGGAAGAUAAUGACGGUACCCGGUAAAGAAACCCCGGCUAACUCCGUGCCAGCAGCCGCGGUAAUACGGAGGGGGUUAGCGUUGUUCGGAAUGACUGGGCGUAAAAGCGCGCGUAGGCGGAUCGCAAAGUUGGGGGUGAAAGCCCAGGGCUCAACCCUGGAAUUGCCUUCAAGACUCGCGGUCUGGAGUUCGAGAGAGGUGGGUGGAAUUCCGAGUGUAGAGGUGAAAUUCGUAGAUAUUCGGAGGAACACCAGUGGCGAAGGCGGCCCACUGGCUCGACACUGACGCUGAGGCGCGAAAGCGCGGGGAGCAAACAGGAUUAGAUACCCUAGUAGUCC